UGGCUCAGUUGGUAGAGCAUGGUGUUUGCAACGCCAGGGCUGUGGUUUCGAUUCCCGC
This 58-nucleotide transfer RNA is filed under the name Salmo salar (Atlantic salmon). It matches the Rfam family "tRNA", at positions 8 to 63 of the family's 71-position model. From Rfam's summary of the family: Transfer RNA (tRNA) molecules are approximately 80 nucleotides in length. Lineage: Eukaryota; Metazoa; Chordata; Actinopteri; Salmoniformes; Salmonidae. The record is from Rfam by way of RNAcentral.